RNAcentral lists this ribosomal RNA (550 nucleotides) under uncultured bacterium. RNAcentral describes it as "bacterial SSU rRNA". It matches the Rfam family "Bacterial small subunit ribosomal RNA", at positions 355 to 896 of the family's 1533-position model. The record is from RNAcentral.
UGGGGAAUCANNNNNNNCAAUGGGGGGAACCCUGACGCAGCCAUGCCGCGUGAAUGAAGAAGGCCUUAGGGUUGUAAAGUUCUUUCGGUAUUGAGGAAGGUUGAUGUGUUAAUAGCACAUCAAAUUGACGUUAAAUACAGAAGAAGCACCGGCUAACUCCGUGCCAGCAGCCGCGGUAAUACGGAGGGUGCGAGCGUUAAUCGGAAUAACUGGGCGUAAAGGGCACGCAGGCGGUUAUUUAAGUGAGGUGUGAAAGCCCUGGGCUUAACCUGGGAAUUGCAUUUCAGACUGGGUAACUAGAGUACUUUAGGGAGGGGUAGAAUUCCACGUGUAGCGGUGAAAUGCGUAGAGAUGUGGAGGAAUACCGAAGGCGAAGGCAGCCCCUUGGGAAUGUACUGACGCUCAUGUGCGAAAGCGUGGGGAGCAAACAGGAUUAGAUACCCUGGUAGUCCACGCUGUAAGCGCUGUCGAUUUGGGGGUUGGGGUUUAACUCUGGCGCCCGUAGCUAACGUGAUAAAUCGACCGCCUGGGGAGUACGGCCGCAAGGUUA